Molecule: long non-coding RNA, 522 nt
Organism: Zingiber officinale
Lineage: Eukaryota; Viridiplantae; Streptophyta; Magnoliopsida; Zingiberales; Zingiberaceae
Exons: 3
Source: RefSeq, a predicted model, not a curated record
CCUGUGCCGUAGCCGCUUAGCACCGCCCGACACCUCCUGGCACAGCCGAGCCCUCUCCCGAUCUCCCAUACUUCGUGCCCUAGCCCCGGUUUGGCACCGCUGACCAUCAGAUCCCUACCUUCAAUCGCCAACCUAAUUUCAAGAUUGGUGCUAGACUUGAUCCUUGGUCCGACAGGAAGUUUCUGAUCAAGUAGAUUUAUCCGGCAAUGUGACCGAAAGGUAAGGGUUGAGGGUUUGAUUUUAUGCUCAGUUAUGGAAGCGUUGAUUUUGAUCUAGGGGUGUUGGGUUGCAGAUUGUUAGUUGUGGCAAUUCUUAUGGGGUCGAGGAUUUCUGUUAGAGUUCGUACAAGUCAUCUUUUCCGGCAGCAACCUUCUACAGCAGCGUAUCAUCAGCUGAGGAUUUAAAGGAGGUGCAGCGGGUUUACUUUGGUUUUGGCUGAGUUUCCAGCAGCAUACAGAUUCAUCUAUUCAAUUGUGGGUCAACAGAAAUUCAUCUGGUUUUAGGAUGUUGAUUCGGGACGAG